GCACAGCUGAGGAGUCCCAUAGUGGGACGAAACGGCCUUCCGGUAC
Non-coding RNA from Schistosoma mattheei, 46 nucleotides. The record is from Rfam. Lineage: Eukaryota; Metazoa; Platyhelminthes; Trematoda; Strigeidida; Schistosomatidae.